CACGUAGGCCGCUUUGUAAGUCAGGGGUGAAAUCCCACGGCUCAACCGUGGAACUGCCUUUGAAACUGCAGAGCUUGAAUCCUGGAGAGGGUGGCGGAAUUCCUGGUGUAGGAGUGAAAUCCGUAGAUAUCAGGAGGAACACCGGUGGCGAAGGCGGCCACCUGGACAGGCAUUGACGCUGAGGUGCGAAAGUGUGGGGAGCAAACA
Molecule: ribosomal RNA, 207 nt
Filed under: uncultured bacterium
Lineage: Bacteria
Also listed under: 1 other name
Description: partial 16S ribosomal RNA
Rfam family: Bacterial small subunit ribosomal RNA
Source: RNAcentral